Molecule: ribosomal RNA, 497 nt
Filed under: uncultured bacterium
Lineage: Bacteria
Description: partial 16S ribosomal RNA
Rfam family: Bacterial small subunit ribosomal RNA
Source: RNAcentral
GAUGAACGCUGGCGGCGUGCCUAAUACAUGCAAGUCGAGCGAACGGACGAGAAGCUUGCUUCUCUGAUGUUAGCGGCGGACGGGUGAGUAACACGUGGAUAACCUACCUAUAAGACUGGGAUAACUUCGGGAAACCGGAGCUAAUACCGGAUAAUAUUUUGAACCGCAUGGUUCAAAAGUGAAAGACGGUCUUUCUGUCACUUAUAGAUGGAUCCGCGCUGCAUUAGCUAGUUGGUAAGGUAACGGCUUACCAAGGCAACGAUGCAUAGCCGACCUGAGAGGGUGAUCGGCCACACUGGAACUGAGAAACGGUCCAGACUCCUACGGGAGGCAGCAGUAGGGAAUCUUCCGGAAUGGGGGAAAGCCGGACGGAGCAACGCCGCGGGAGGGAUGAAGGUCUUCGGAUCGGAAAACUCUGUUAUUAGGGAAGAACAUAUGUGUAAGUAACUGUGCACAUCUUGACGGUACCGAAUCAGAAAGCCCCGGCUAACUACGUG